Molecule: ribosomal RNA, 475 nt
Filed under: Achromobacter xylosoxidans
Lineage: Bacteria; Pseudomonadati; Pseudomonadota; Betaproteobacteria; Burkholderiales; Alcaligenaceae
Description: bacterial SSU rRNA
Rfam family: Bacterial small subunit ribosomal RNA
Source: RNAcentral
AUUGAACGCUAGCGGGAUGCCUUACACAUGCAAGUCGAACGGCAGCACGGACUUCGGUCUGGUGGCGAGUGGCGAACGGGUGAGUAAUGUAUCGGAACGUGCCCAGUAGCGGGGGAUAACUACGCGAAAGCGUAGCUAAUACCGCAUACGCCCUACGGGGGAAAGCAGGGGAUCGCAAGACCUUGCACUAUUGGAGCGGCCGAUAUCGGAUUAGCUAGUUGGUGGGGUAACGGCUCACCAAGGCGACGAUCCGUAGCUGGUUUGAGAGGACGACCAGCCACACUGGGACUGAGACACGGCCCAGACUCCUACGGGAGGCAGCAGUGGGGAAUUUUGGACAAUGGGGGAAACCCUGAUCCAGCCAUCCCGCGUGUGCGAUGAAGGCCUUCGGGUUGUAAAGCACUUUUGGCAGGAAAGAAACGUCAUGGGCUAAUACCCCGUGAAACUGACGGUACCUGCAGAAUAAGCACCGCUA